GGCACGUGAAAUCCCGUGUGAAUCUGCGAGGACCACCUCGUAAGGCUAAAUAUUCCUAAAUGACCGAUAGUGAAAUAGUACCGUGAGGGAAAGGUGAAAAGAACCCCGAUAGGGGAGUGAAAUAGAACAUGAAACUGUAAACUUACAAGCAGUAGGAGGACGACUUAACGUCUGACUGCGUGCCUGUUGAAGAAUGAGCCGGCGACUUAUAAGUAUUGGCAGGUUAAUUGUUGGAGCCAUAGCGAAAGCGAGUCUGAAUAGGGCGUUUGUCAUUGCUUAGACCCGAACCCG
This 291-nucleotide ribosomal RNA is filed under the name uncultured Pelagophyceae. RNAcentral describes it as "partial Bacterial large subunit ribosomal RNA". It matches the Rfam family "Bacterial large subunit ribosomal RNA", at positions 421 to 723 of the family's 2925-position model. Lineage: Eukaryota; Pelagophyceae. The record is from RNAcentral.